RNAcentral lists this ribosomal RNA (376 nucleotides) under uncultured eukaryote. RNAcentral's name for it is "partial 18S ribosomal RNA". It matches the Rfam family "Eukaryotic small subunit ribosomal RNA", at positions 592 to 976 of the family's 1831-position model. The record is from RNAcentral.
CAAUAGCGUAUAUUAAAGUUGUUGCAGUUAAAAGCUCGUAGUUGGAUUUCGGGGUGGCCUGGCUGGUCCGCCGCAAGGUGAGUACUGGUCAGCCGCCCUUCCUCUCGAAAGCCCCGACUGCUCUUUACUGCAGUGGUCGGGUAGUUCGGGACGUUUACUUUGAAAAAAUUAGAGUGUUCAAGGCAGGCUAUCGCCUGAAUACAUUAGCAUGGAAUAAUGGAAGAGGACCUCGGUCCUAUUUUGUUGGUUUCUAGGGCCGAAGUAAUGAUUAAGAGGGACAGUUGGGGGCAUUCGUAUUUAAUUGUCAGAGGUGAAAUUCUUGGAUUUAUGAAAGACGAACUAGUGCGAAAGCAUUUGCCAAGGAUGUUUUCAUUAA